This 258-nucleotide ribosomal RNA is filed under the name uncultured fungus. RNAcentral's name for it is "partial 5.8S ribosomal RNA". The stretch from base 1 to 68 matches the Rfam family "Eukaryotic small subunit ribosomal RNA", at positions 1764 to 1831 of the family's 1831-position model. Lineage: Eukaryota; Fungi. The record is from RNAcentral.
CUUGGUCAUUUAGAGGAAGUAAAAGUCGUAACAAGGUUUCCGUAGGUGAACCUGCGGAAGGAUCAUUAUCAAAACAGCGGACUUCGGUCUUUGCUGCACCCUUGUCUUUUGCGCACCGAAUUGUUUCCUCGGCGGGCUUGCCUGCCGGUUGGACAUUAUCAAAACCUUUUUGUAGUUGCAAUCAGCGUCAGAAAAAUCAUAAUUAUUACAACUUUCAACAACGGAUCUCUUGGUUCUGGCAUCGAUGAAGAACGCAGC